RNAcentral lists this ribosomal RNA (231 nucleotides) under uncultured bacterium. RNAcentral's name for it is "partial 16S ribosomal RNA". It matches the Rfam family "Bacterial small subunit ribosomal RNA", at positions 118 to 350 of the family's 1533-position model. The record is from RNAcentral.
UGGGCAACCUGCCCUCAGCUCUGGGAUAACCCCGGGAAACCGGGGCUAAUACCGGAUACGACCUCCGCGGGCAUCUGCGAAGGUGGAAAGGUUUUCCGGCUGAGGAUGGGCCCGCGGCCUAUCAGCUAGUUGGUGGGGUGAUGGCCCACCAAGGCGACGACGGGUAGCCGGCCUGAGAGGGUGACCGGCCACACUGGGACUGAGACACGGCCCAGACUCCUACGGGAGGCA